RNAcentral lists this ribosomal RNA (427 nucleotides) under uncultured Lactococcus sp. RNAcentral describes it as "bacterial SSU rRNA". It matches the Rfam family "Bacterial small subunit ribosomal RNA", at positions 355 to 774 of the family's 1533-position model. The record is from RNAcentral. Lineage: Bacteria; Bacillati; Bacillota; Bacilli; Lactobacillales; Streptococcaceae.
UAGGGAAUCUUCGGCAAUGGACGAAAGUCUGACCGAGCAACGCCGCGUGAGUGAAGAAGGUUUUCGGAUCGUAAAACUCUGUUGGUAGAGAAGAACGUUGGUGAGAGUGGAAAGCUCAUCAAGUGACGGUAACUACCCAGAAAGGGACGGCUAACUACGUGCCAGCAGCCGCGGUAAUACGUAGGCCCGACGCGUGUCCGGGUUUAUUGGGCGUAAAGCGAGCGCAGGUGGUUUAUUAAGUCUGGUGUAAAAGACAGUGGCUCAACCAUUGUAUGCAUUGGAAACUGGUAGACUUGAGUGCAGGAGAGGAGAGUGGAAUUCCAUGUGUAGCGGUGAAAUGCGUAGAUAUAUUGGAGGAACACCGGUGGCGAAAGCGGCUCUCUGGCCUGUAACUGACACUGAGGCUCGAAAGCGUGGGGAGCAAACA